GGAUGCAAUGACGUGAUAUCUUCGUGCAAUCCAAAGAUAAACCAAUUUUUGCACGUCAAUGGUAAUCUUUUGGGAAAAAUCUACAUAUCCUUGUUCAUAUCUGGUAAGCAAGAAAAUGAAAUUUGCAAUGCAUCUUAGAUGUACAUAGCUAACCAAAUGUGGCCCCGCAGUUAACGUGUGACACUUUAAUUGGCUUAUUUUAUAACGAUUUGGUCGGUCGAAGAACUACUAUUCCAAUCCAACCCUCCCAACCUCUCCUAUUUUUUACAGGAAUAAAAAAUGUUCUCACAUACUCAUAGUGCCUCCAAUAAUGACCAAUUCUCUUUACAAAAGGGAAUUGCCAUGCCAUGCGGCGAAACAAGGAUUACACGAGGGAAAUCAUCCAUUAACAGAAAUCUGAUGCUCUUAAUCAUGGAUCAGUGCCUCAAGAAAGUGUGUUUUGUUUAUUCACUUGGCUCAUAAAGGGCACACGAAUUCUCCACUUGUCUCGAUAUCUUCAUAAUCAACAUCAGCAUCUACGUCAUCAAGAUCCAUGCUCCCUCCAAGAAUAUUGCCUUCAGUCUUUGGCAGCUCGACAGGUUUUCUUGCCUCUUGUAUUAUAGACAGAACUUCUUCAAUGCUCUGUGACGGGUUAUUCACAUCAUUGUUUUGCCAGCUGCCUCCUUCCAUCAGCUCGAUCGGCAAGUUCUUUAAGAACCAAGGAUGAUUUUUAAUUUCUGGAAUGGUUAUUCUCUGAGAACAAAACAAGUUAAAACAAUCCACAGGAUAACAAAUAAAGAUAUAUAAAAUAGAAGAAGAAUUGAUUAAAAAAUGAAUUUUAUCAAGCGUCAACUACUUCAAAGGUCCUUAUUAAUUGGUCCUAAGGACUGUUGUCUUACAUUCUUUUUCUUCAAUUUUAGAGAAUUGCAGUUGAUACACCUACAUUUCUAUCCAAACCAAAUGCCAAGUUACCUUUUCAGGAUUUGCCACAAAUAUUCGAGAUAAGAGGUGCCUGCAGUCAAUAGAAACUUGGACAUAAUCUGGAAUUGCAUAGUGGACACUCAGUAUUCUCUGCAAUAAGCAAAAGUAAUUUAACAGGACCAAAUAAUGGUAGUUCAAUAAGAAACUCCAAUAUAAAUUAUGCAGACCCUAAACAAUUGCGCUAAAUGUAAAUUUUAUCCACUAAAGGUUUUGCAAAACCACUUACCCCAAUUGUUUUCCUGAAGUUUUUGGGAUCAUCAGGGUCUUCAAAGGGAUAUGCCCCAACUAGCAUCACAUAUAGGGUAACUCCACAAGACCAAACAUCUGCAACCUUCCCAUCAUAUUCCUUUCUGGACAGAAUCUCAGGUGCAACGUAAGCCGGUGUUCCUACUGUAGAUUUGGGUUGAGAAUGAAACACAGCUGACUACUCAAUAACUCGAGAUAAUUAGCAAUCAAGAGUUCAUCAAAUUUUAUGUCUGAAAACUAUCAUUUACCAUUAAUUGCUUACCUUUGAAUACCCAAAGUCACAUAUCUUCACUCGCGGUGCUAUGCUGCCAUCUAGGAGUGUAUUUUCAAGCUUAAGAUCUCUAUGACAAAUUUGCUGCAACAUAGAGGUCCCUCGCAUCAGAUUCCAUUAAAGAUUAAACAAGGAAGUGUCAUUUUAGAAAGAUCAAGAAAAACAAAUGAAUGGAGGGACGAAGUUCACACCAUUAAAUGGCAGUAACUAACUCCUGAUAUCAAUUGCUGGAAGAAAAACCUUGCCUCAUCUUCGCUAAAUCUACCAGUGUUACAUAUCCUCUCAAAAAGUUCGCCUCCUGCAGCAUACUCCAUGACUAUGGCCAGAUGAGUAGGUGUUAACAAGACCUCUUUGAAUCUAACUAUAUUGAGAUGCUUCAAUGAUCUGUGGUUCAUGAUUUCCCUUUGCACGUGUUCAUCAAUUUUCAAGCCUCUCUCAAUAAACUUAACAGCAAAUAGCUCUUUAGUCCAUCUAUCUCUAACCAGCUUGGCUACCCCAAAAUUCCCAGACCCAAUAUCUUUCACAAUCUCAUAACGCUCCAUAGUUGCAAGAAGCAAUGUAGCACAAGAGCUAGAACAACCAGAAUUUAAAUCCAAUCUCCAACUUCACUCCUCUGUGUGUCUGCAAACUUCUUUAUUCUUCUCUUCUGAACGACUUCCAAAAACAGAGCAUAAAAAAUUAGACAAGUAGGUAACACCGGCCGUGUCUUACAAGUUAUAGAUAGAGAAAAUCCGCAGAGAGGAGAGCCUCAGCGUUUGACCGCAGUAAUUUAAGUUGAGACAGACAGAUGGAGAUGACGCGUGUGAGGAACGGUGAAGAUUGGAUUUGGUAAGAGAGAAAAAAAACAGAAGAGAUGGGACAAAGGAAGUGAAAUAUUAAUCAUGUGAACAAUUUCCACAAGCGGUGUGUGAGCUCAGUCAGCGAAU
This 2403-nucleotide unclassified non-coding RNA is filed under the name Hevea brasiliensis (rubber tree). Lineage: Eukaryota; Viridiplantae; Streptophyta; Magnoliopsida; Malpighiales; Euphorbiaceae. The record is from RNAcentral.